Molecule: long non-coding RNA, 317 nt
Organism: Chiloscyllium plagiosum (whitespotted bambooshark)
Lineage: Eukaryota; Metazoa; Chordata; Chondrichthyes; Orectolobiformes; Hemiscylliidae
Source: RefSeq, a predicted model, not a curated record
AGCGAUCUCGGGAUAAGGUCAAUGUCUCCGGUUGGACAAAAUCUGGGCAUCCCUUGGUGUGCUUUCAGGAAGCGCUGAAUACAAAAACCAAGGUGUGAUUUUCAGGUUUCUAUUGGAGACCCAUGUGCAACAUCAGUUUUCUUUGCAAUAGGAAGGAGAGAGAGAAUGCACAGAGAGGACUGAGGAAACUAACAGGCUGGUGACGACAGCAACAAAACACAAAUAAAAAGGAUUAUGCAACGGACGAUCUUAAGAUGAUGAAAAGGCAGGACUAGGUACUGGUCAAACCAGGAGAGAGUGAGGACUACAGAUGUUGG